This 254-nucleotide ribosomal RNA is filed under the name uncultured bacterium. Its description in RNAcentral is "partial 16S ribosomal RNA". It matches the Rfam family "Bacterial small subunit ribosomal RNA", at positions 524 to 776 of the family's 1533-position model. The record is from RNAcentral.
UACGUAGGGAGCAAGCGUUGUCCGGAUUUAUUGGGCGUAAAGAGCUCGUAGGCGGUUCAGUAAGUCAGGUGUGAAAGCUCUGGGCUCAACUCAGAGAAGCCACCUGAUACUGCUGUGACUAGAAUCCAGUAGGGGAGUGUGGAACUCCUGGUGUAGCGGUGAAAUGCGCAGAUAUCAGGAAGAACACCAGCGGCGAAGGCGGCACUCUGGGCUGGUAUUGACGCUGAGGAGCGAAAGUGUGGGUAGCAAACAGG